CCCGCUGAACUUAAGCAUAUCAAUAAGCGGAGGAAAAGAAACCAACAGGGAUUGCCCCAGUAACGGCGAGUGAAGCGGCAACAGCUCAAAUUUGAAAUCUGGCCCCUAGGGUCCGAGUUGUAAUUUGUAGAGGAUGCUUUUGGUGAGGUGCCGCCCGAGUUCCCUGGAACGGGACGCCGCAGAGGGUGAGAGCCCCGUCUGGCUGGCCACCGAGCCUCUGUAAAGCUCCUUCGACGAGUCGAGUAGUUUGGGAAUGCUGCUCAAAAUGGGAGGUAUAUGUCUUCUAAAGCUAAAUAUUGGCCAGAGACCGAUAGCGCACAAGUAGAGUGAUCGAAAGAUGAAAAGCACCUUGAAAAGAGGGUUAAACAGUACGUGAAAUUGUUGAAAGGGAAGCGCUUGUGACCAGACUUGGGCGCGGCGAAUCAUCCGGGGUUCUCUCCGGUACACUUCGCCGUGUUCAGGCCAGCAUCAGUUCGGCGCGGGGGAAAAAGGCUUCGGGAACGUGGCUGCUCCGGCAGUGUUAUAGCCCGUUGCAUAAUACCCUGCGCUGGACUGAGGACCGCGCAUCUGCAAGGAUGCUGGCGUAAUGGUCACCAGCGACCCGUCUUGAAACACGG
RNAcentral lists this ribosomal RNA (617 nucleotides) under uncultured fungus. Its description in RNAcentral is "eukaryotic LSU rRNA". It matches the Rfam family "Eukaryotic large subunit ribosomal RNA", at positions 24 to 664 of the family's 3401-position model. Lineage: Eukaryota; Fungi. The record is from RNAcentral.